UUGAACUAAUGGUGAUCUCUA
This 21-nucleotide microRNA is filed under the name Cordylochernes scorpioides. Lineage: Eukaryota; Metazoa; Arthropoda; Arachnida; Pseudoscorpiones; Chernetidae. The record is from RNAcentral.